GAUGAACGCUGGCGGCGUGCCUAAUACAUGCAAGUCGAGCGAACGGACGAGAAGCUUGCUUCUCUGAUGUUAGCGGCGGACGGGUGAGUAAAACGUGGAUAACCUACCUAUAAGACUGGGAUAACUUCGGGAAACCGGAGCUAACACCGGCUAAUAUUUUGAACCGCAUGGUUCAAAAGUGAAAGACGGUCUUGCUGUCACUUAUAGAUGGAACCGCGCUGCAUUAGCUAGUUGGUAAGGUAACGGCGUACCAAGGCAACGAUGCAUAGCAGACCUGAGAGGGUGAUCGGCCACACUGGAACUGAGACACGGUCCAGACUCCUACGGGAGGCAGCAGUAGGGAAUCUUCCGCAAUGGGCGAAAGCCUGACGGAGCAACGCCGCGUGAGUGAUGAAGGUCUUCGGAGCGUAAAACUCUGUUAUUAGGGAAGAACAUAUGUGUAAGUAACUGUGCACAUCUUGACGGUACCUAAUCAGAAAGCCACGGCUAACUACGUG
This 497-nucleotide ribosomal RNA is filed under the name uncultured bacterium. Its description in RNAcentral is "partial 16S ribosomal RNA". It matches the Rfam family "Bacterial small subunit ribosomal RNA", at positions 28 to 507 of the family's 1533-position model. The record is from RNAcentral.